ACACUAACUGGAGGACCGAACCGACUAAUGUUGAAAAAUUAGCGGAUGACCUGUGGCUGGGGGUGAAAGGCCAAUCAAACCGGGAGAUAGCUGGUUCUCCCCGAAAGCUAUUUAGGUAGCGCCUCGUGAAUUCAUCUCCGGGGGUAGAGCACUGUUUCGGCUAGGGGGCCAUCCCGGCUUACCAACCCGAUGCAAACUGCGAAUACCGGAGAAUGUUAUCACGGGAGACACACGGCGGGUGCUAACGUCCGUCGUGAAGAGGGAAACAACCCAGACCGCCAGCUAAGGUCCCAAAGUCAUGGUUAAGUGGGAAACGAUGUGGGAAGGCCCAGACAGCCAGGAUGUUGGCUUAGAAGCAGCCAUCAUUUAAAGAAAGCGUAAUAGCUCACUGGUCGAGUCGGCCUGCGCGGAAGAUGUAACGGGGCUAAACCAUGCACCGAAGCUGCGGCAGCGACACUGUGUGUUGUUGGGUAGGGGAGCGUUCUGUAAGCCUGCGAAGGUGGCCUGUGAGGGUUGCUGGAGGUAUCAGAAGUGCGAAUGCUGACAUAAGUAACGAUAAAGCGGGUGAAAAGCCCGCUCGCCGGAAGACCAAGGGUUCCUGUCCAACGUUAAUCGGGGCAGGGUGAGUCGACCCCUAAGGCGAGGCCGAAAGGCGUAGUCGAUGGGAAACGGGUUAAUAUUCCCGUACUUGGUGUUACUGCGAAGGGGGGACGGAGAAGGCUAUGUUGGCCGGGCGACGGUUGUCCCGGUUUAAGUGUGUAGGUGUGUGUUCCAGGUAAAUCCGGUUCACUUUAACACUGAGGCGUGACGACGAGGCACUACGGUGCUGAAGCAACAAAUGCCCUGCUUCCAGGAAAAGCCUCUAAGCAUCAGGUAACAUCAAAUCGUACCCCAAACCGACACAGGUGGUCAGGUAGAGAAUACCAAGGCGCUUGAGAGAACUCGGGUGAAGGAACUAGGCAAAAUGGUGCCGUAACUUCGGGAGAAGGCACGCUGACACGUAGGUGAAGUGAUUUACUCAUGGAGCUGAAGUCAGUCGAAGAUACCAGCUGGCUGCAACUGUUUAUUAAAAACACAGCACUGUGCAAACACGAAAGUGGACGUAUACGGUGUGACGCCUGCCCGGUGCCGGAAGGUUAAUUGAUGGGGUCAGCGCAAGCGAAGCUCCUGAUCGAAGCCCCGGUAAACGGCGGCCGUAACUAUAACGGUCCUAAGGUAGCGAAAUUCCUUGUCGGGUAAGUUCCGACCUGCACGAAUGGCGUAAUGAUGGCCAGGCUGUCUCCACCCGAGACUCAGUGAAAUUGAACUCGCUGUGAAGAUGCAGUGUACCCGCGGCAAGACGGAAAGACCCCGUGAACCUUUACUAUAGCUUGACACUGAACAUUGAGCCUUGAUGUGUAGGAUAGGUGGGAGGCUUUGAAGUGUGGACGCCAGUCUGCAUGGAGCCGACCUUGAAAUACCACCCUUUAAUGUUUGAUGUUCUAACGUGGACCCGUUACCCGGGUUGCGGACAGUGUCUGGUGGGUAGUUUGACUGGGGCGGUCUCCUCCUAAAGAGUAACGGAGGAGCACGAAGGUUGGCUAAUCCUGGUCGGACAUCAGGAGGUUAGUGCAAUGGCAUAAGCCAGCUUGACUGCGAGCGUGACGGCGCGAGCAGGUGCGAAAGCAGGUCAUAGUGAUCCGGUGGUUCUGAAUGGAAGGGCCAUCGCUCAACGGAUAAAAGGUACUCCGGGGAUAACAGGCUGAUACCGCCCAAGAGUUCAUAUCGACGGCGGUGUUUGGCACCUCGAUGUCGGCUCAUCACAUCCUGGGGCUGAAGUAGGUCCCAAGGGUAUGGCUGUUCGCCAUUUAAAGUGGUACGCGAGCUGGGUUUAGAACGUCGUGAGACAGUUCGGUCCCUAUCUGCCGUGGGCGCUGGAGAACUGAGGGGGGCUGCUCCUAGUACGAGAGGACCGGAGUGGACGCAUCACUGGUGUUCGGGUUGUCAUGCCAAUGGCACUGCCCGGUAGCUAAAUGCGGAAGAGAUAAGUGCUGAAAGCAUCUAAGCACGAAACUUGCCCCGAG
Molecule: ribosomal RNA, 2063 nt
Filed under: Salmonella enterica subsp. enterica serovar Enteritidis
Lineage: Bacteria; Pseudomonadati; Pseudomonadota; Gammaproteobacteria; Enterobacterales; Enterobacteriaceae
Description: partial 23S ribosomal RNA
Rfam family: Bacterial large subunit ribosomal RNA
Source: RNAcentral